AGGAGUCUAGGGGACAACUUGCACCGGACCAGCCAAAAGUGGCCCAAGAGAAAAGGUUCCCACCAGUCCGACGACCCAACAUAGAGAGCCAUCUGCCAUUCUGACAAGGGGGGACCGUCACCAAGAAUUGGGGCCUCUCGAUCCAACAUAGAGGCAGGGCUAGCCAAAAUUAACCAAUGACUGAAAACGAACCGAAAUAUCCAAGACUGAAACCGAAAUGACCAAAACAAAAAUAUUCGGUCCCAAGUUCGGUUCUCAGAUGCAACUAACCAAAUUUAACUCGGUUAAUUCAAUUCCCAGCCUCGGUUAACCGAAAAAACUAAAACAACCAAAUAUACCAAGAGGCCCAAUAAAACAUGUAGCACAUCCCAAUAUCACUCACUCUCCACCAUUCCACUUUAUCCUCAUGACAACCUCGCACCCCUACCAACCACACACCAUUCUCCAACCGAUCCCAACCCAUGGCACCGGUGCUCCUCCCCCCCAAUCCCACAGCCUGCUCCCCUUCCUAUAGGCUGCAGCAAGCAUCCAGUGACAGCGCUCCUCCAUUCCUCCAAUCCAGUAGGUAGAUCGAGGAGGUGGGGGUU
Molecule: long non-coding RNA, 587 nt
Filed under: Setaria viridis
Lineage: Eukaryota; Viridiplantae; Streptophyta; Magnoliopsida; Poales; Poaceae
Description: long non-coding RNA (SVIR_LNC007803)
Source: RNAcentral